UUAGAGAAAGCUUCCCAUUGGUCAAUUUGAAGAACACAAGGAUCAAUGUUAUCUACCGUUAGAUUAACUUGAUCCAACAGAUGUAAAUUAACUGACUUUUUUUCUUUCCUCCUCACCUUCUACGAAUCUUAUCUCUCAGUAUCGCACUAUCUCUCUCUCAAAAUCUUAUCAUCCUAUCUCUCUGUACACAAUGAACAAUAAAUCAACAAAGACUGAGAGAAGAAGAAGCAAUCUCUUUUCUCAAAAAAAAGAAGAAGAAGCAAUCUCACUAUCACAAUAUCUCUCGCACAAGAAGAAGAAGAAGAAGAUGUCAUGAAGAAGCAGAGAUGGAGAGGGAGCUUCGGUGUGGCUCUACCUCAUCUCGUCGCCACCUCUCUUCACUUCGUCUCCAAUCAUCAAGUUCUUCUCAGCCUCUCUUUGCCAUGAACCUCACCGGUGGGUGGUCGUGAGCUUCAAGACAGGUACGACGUCGUGGUGCGGGGGUGUUGCUAGCCGCCUCUGGUCAAUGGAGAGUAAAGACGAAGCUUCAUGGUCGUUCCCGUCGGAGUUAUCAGCUAGGAACGGGGAGAGCUGAGAAAGAGUGAAGACAAGGACUGGAGCUAAGGGUCACCGGAGAACACGGCGGCGGCAAUUUGAUAACGAUCUCAUUGUCGGUUAUCUAGGGCUUCUUUGGUUUUUCGGUUUAAUUGUCUGGGUUCUUCUUUUAUCUGAUUGUAUCUGCUUAACCAUUAACCAUUCCCGGUUUGGGACAAAUUAAUAAUACUAAUUUGUUUUAAAAAUUUAA
Raphanus sativus (radish) is the source of this 784-nucleotide long non-coding RNA. RefSeq lists it as uncharacterized. The record is from RefSeq and is a predicted model, not a curated record. Lineage: Eukaryota; Viridiplantae; Streptophyta; Magnoliopsida; Brassicales; Brassicaceae. The transcript is spliced from 2 exons.